Molecule: long non-coding RNA, 1004 nt
Organism: Bombus terrestris (buff-tailed bumblebee)
Lineage: Eukaryota; Metazoa; Arthropoda; Insecta; Hymenoptera; Apidae
Exons: 3
Source: RefSeq, a predicted model, not a curated record
UUAUCAACGGGGAUCAAGCGAACUUAAAACACCGUGCACAACCAACAUACUCGAGGCUGUAAGAAAUAUCUGUCGUAAUUCAAUCAAAAAUGAAUAUUAUCUAUGUAUUGAGUUUGAGUUAGCUUCUCGAAUCACUACGUGAAAUAAUAAAAAAUAUUAUUUUCAUAGAAUAAUGUUAUCUAAUUAAUCAUUCGCCUACUAUUCUAAUAAUUGAUUCGUUAUUAUUGCAUGCAACCCAACCCUCUGGCAACGGCAUUGAAAAAUCUAAACCAAAUCGGAAACAUAGAUCAUAUUCACUUUUAAUUUAGCUGUAAAUUAUAAUCAUAGAGAUAUAAGGAUAGAGUGCGAGGGCGAGCUGAGAAAGCGAAAGCGAAAGCGAAAGAGAACGCUGCAUAAAGGCCUCUUGUGUCCUUGUCUAAUAACGCAUGCUCCUUCGUAUAGCAAACAUAUAAGUGUAUAGCCAACACAAACAUUGUCAGUGUCAUGCCUGAUUAGACAAGGACAGAAGACACUUUUAUGCAGCGUUCUUUCUACUCCUAUAUCGCAUCCACUUACACGAUAAUUUAAGACUAUAUGACUCGCGUACUCUAACUCUUUGUAUAUCUAUGGUUAUAAUAGACAUUUAUUGCAGUCUCACAGUUGUUAGAAAUUUUGAGUUUUAGGACAUGUCUAAGAAUCAUCGAAAUGGAAAGGUUUCCUCGGUGCGUCAAUAUCUUCAAGAAUUCGUGGACAUGGCUGCAAGCGUUAGUGGAGAGGACAGAGUCGUUCCAUCAGGCGUAACGAUCAGUGGACAGUCCUGUGCGAAAUCUUCAGUUGCGAACAGUAUCUCCAAGCAUCGAUGAAGUUUUUACCGGUUGCAGUUUACCAGUUUGAAUCGGCGUCCUUGAUCGAUAGUUAUUUUCGAAGGUACGCCGAAACGAGCUAUUCGUGUAGAGAGGAGAACCGAGGCAACGGUUGUCGCUUCCAUAUCAACGAUGGGAAUGGCUUCGGGCCAACGCGAAAAA